Molecule: long non-coding RNA, 928 nt
Filed under: Pongo abelii (Sumatran orangutan)
Lineage: Eukaryota; Metazoa; Chordata; Mammalia; Primates; Hominidae
Description: lincRNA
Source: RNAcentral
GUAUCAUCAGCUGUUUAUUUCUUCAAACAUAGUUAAAAUCUAAAAGAAAAAAGAAAAAAAAGUCCAACAUUCAGAAUCCCCAAGAGGCAUAUGUAAAUCCUAAUAGAAAAUGCUCAGUUUAAGAAGUUCCAUUGAGGUAAAGCAAUGAUGCAAGGCUUUUGGCAACGGUUCCCCAGCUCCCAGCCACACAUCGCUCCACUUACUUCGAGUGACAGCCUCCAAAGAAAAGUUUCCACCGCGCCAGAGUCUCGACCCUGAGUGGCGUCGGCAGGGUCCCCCGCGGCAGACCAGGGGUGUUGCGGGCUGCUCUGGGUGGGGGACCGCGCGCUGCACGUGCAGUGCCGCCCGGACGGCGGCGAAAGGACAGCGGUGCACCCCGCCCGAGGCCCCAGCGAUCCAUCAGGACGGCUGUAUGCGGGAAGACGCUUCAUCUCAUCCCUAGAUGGCAGCAGGAUUCUGAAGCUGGCGCAGCCCUGGGCAGCCCUUUUGGUCUGUUUUCCUGAACAGAUUGCCAGGGGAUAAGGCGGCUAAACAGCCCGGCGCCUCCCCGGAGUGCAGCUGAGACAGAAGAGCAAGCCGGACAGACGCCGCUGGCGAGGCUUCGGGGGUCAGAUCCUGCAGCUUGGACACCACAUUCUCUCUUUUUGCACACAGAUGUGCUACUGUGUAAAAAUAAACAAACAAACAAAACCAGGGGAGUUCAGCUUCUUGGAGAAUGUGUCAUGGUCAAGACCAGUGAUUCUGGACGGUGACAAAAGUCCGGAGGCCUGAGUGCACAGAGGACACACGCACAGAUGCACAUGAACUCAUGGAGAAACACUGGUCUUCUCUGCCAGGGACCAGGCCGGCCAUGCAGGAAGGGAGCAGGAUGUGAAGAUUCAGACUUUAGCUCCAGCUUCACUACCUUCCUGCCGUGCACUUUGGGGGA